RNAcentral lists this ribosomal RNA (433 nucleotides) under uncultured bacterium. RNAcentral describes it as "partial 16S ribosomal RNA". It matches the Rfam family "Bacterial small subunit ribosomal RNA", at positions 29 to 507 of the family's 1533-position model. The record is from RNAcentral.
AACGAACGCUGGCGGCAUGCCUAACGCAUGCAAGUCGAACGAGACCUUCGGGUCUAGUGGCGCACGGGUGCGUAACGCGUGGGAACCUGCCCUUAGGUUCGGAAUAACUCCCCGAAAGGGGUGCUAAUACCGGAUAAUGUCUUCGGACCAAAGAUUUAUCGCCUUUGGAUGGGCCCGCGUUGGAUUAGCUAGUUGGUAGGGUAAAAGCCUACCAAGGCGACGAUCCAUAGCUGGUCUGAGAGGAUGAUCAGCCACACUGGGACUGAGACACGGCCCAGACUCCUACGGGAGGCAGCAGUGGGGAAUAUUGGGCAAUGGGCGAAAGCCUGAUCCAGCCAUGCCGCGUGAGUGAUGAAGGCCUUAGGGUUGUAAAGCUCUUUUAGCCGGGAUGAUAAUGACAGUACCGGGAGAAUAAGCUCCGGCUAACUCCGUG